Molecule: ribosomal RNA, 253 nt
Filed under: uncultured bacterium
Lineage: Bacteria
Description: partial 16S ribosomal RNA
Rfam family: Bacterial small subunit ribosomal RNA
Source: RNAcentral
UACGGAGGGUGCGAGCGUUGUCCGGAAUUACUGGGCGUAAAGGGCGCGUAGGCGGUCCGAUAAGUCCCGUGUGAAAUCCCUCGGCUCAACUGAGGAAUGGCACGGGAAACUGACGGGCUUGAGUUCGGGAGAGGGAAGCGGAAUUCCGGGUGUAGCGGUGAAAUGCGUAGAUAUCCGGAGGAACACCGGUGGCGAAGGCGGCUUCCUGGACCGACACUGACGCUGAGGCGCGAAAGCUAGGGGAGCAAACGGG